UUUGCAUAAUGAGCCUACGAGUUAACGUUGCUGGCAAGGUUAAGUGGUUAAGCCACGGAUCCGUAGCGAAAGCGAGUCUGAAUAGGGCGCUUUAGUCAGUAGUGUUAGACGCGAAACCGUGUGAUCUACCCAUGGGCAGGUUGAAGCUGUGGUAACACAUAGUGGAGGACCGAACCCGUUGACGUUGAAAAGUCUUGGGAUGAUCUGUGGGUAGGGGUGAAAGGCCAAUCAAACUCGGAAAUAGCUCGUACUCCCCGAAAUGCAUUUAGGUGCAGCGUUAUGCGUAAAGUUAUAUAGAGGUAGAGCUACUGAUUGGAUGCGGGGGCUUCACCGCCUACCAAUUCCUGACAAACUCCGAAUGCUAUAUAAUGUUUCAUAACAGUGAGGGCUUGGGUGCUAAGGUCCAAGUCCGAGAGGGAAAGAACCCAGACCAUCAGCUAAGGUCCCCAAAUAUAUGCUAAGUUGAAAUAACGAGGUUUGUCUGCCCAGACAGCUAGGAUGUUGGCUUGGAAGCAGCCAUUCAUUUAAAGAGUGCGUAACAGCUCACUAGUCGAGCGGACGAGCAUGGAUAAUAAUCGGGCAUAAGCAUAUUACCGAAGCUAUGGAUUUACAAUUUAUUGUAAGUGGUAGGGGAGCAUUCUAAACUGGGUAGAAGGUGUACUGUGAGGUAUGCUGGACUGUUUAGAAAAGAAAAUGUAGGCAUAAGUAACGAUAAUGCGGGCGAGAAACCCGCACACCGUAAGACCAAGGUUUCCGCAGCUAUGCUAAUCAGCUGCGGGUUAGUCGGGACCUAAGGCACACCCGAAGGGGGACGUCGAUGGCCAACGGGUUAAUAUUCCCGUACUACUUAUAAUUGUGAUGGAGAGACGCAGUGGUGAAAGUACCGCGAACUGACGGAAUAGUUCGUUAAAGUACCUAGCUAUAUGCUCUAUAGGCAAAUCCGUAGAGCAUGGUGAAAUACGAUAGUACUCGGAGUCUUCGGACAAAGGGAUAGUGUGCCUAAGGGCUUCCAAGAAAAGUUUCUAAACUUAGAUUAUAAGUACCAGUACCGUAAACCGACACAGGUAGUUGAGGAGAGAAUCCUAAGGUGCUCGAGAGAUUCAUGGCUAAGGAAUUAGGCAAAAUAGACCUGUAACUUCGGGAGAAAGGUCGCCCACAGCGAUGUGGGCCGCAGUGAAAAGGUCCAGGCGACUGUUUAUCAAAAACACAGGGCUCUGCAAAAUCGUAAGAUGAAGUAUAGGGCCUGACACCUGCCCGGUGCUGGAAGGUUAAGAGGAGAUGUUAUCUUCGGAGAAGCAUUGAAUUGAAGCCCCAGUAAACGGCGGCCGUAACAAUAACGGUCCUAAGGUAGCGAAAUUCCUUGUCGGGUAAGUUCCGACCUGCACGAAUGGCAUAAUGAUGGGGGCGCUGUCUCCAGCAGAGACUCAGUGAAAUCGAAUUCGCCGUGAAGAUGCGGUGUACCCGCGGCUAGACGGAAAGACCCCGUGAACCUUUACUGCAGCUUGACAUUGAACUUUGAUCUUACUUGUGUAGGAUAGGUGGGAGGCUUUGAAGC
Molecule: ribosomal RNA, 1555 nt
Filed under: Eriocheir sinensis (Chinese mitten crab)
Lineage: Eukaryota; Metazoa; Arthropoda; Malacostraca; Decapoda; Varunidae
Description: bacterial LSU rRNA
Rfam family: Bacterial large subunit ribosomal RNA
Source: RNAcentral